RNAcentral lists this ribosomal RNA (497 nucleotides) under uncultured bacterium. Its description in RNAcentral is "partial 16S ribosomal RNA". It matches the Rfam family "Bacterial small subunit ribosomal RNA", at positions 28 to 507 of the family's 1533-position model. The record is from RNAcentral.
GACGAACGCUGGCGGCGUGCCUAAUACAUGCAAGUAGAACGCUGAAGAGAGGAGCUUGCUCUUCUUGGAUGAGUUGCGAACGGGUGAGUAACGCGUAGGUAACCUGCCUUGUAGCGGGGGAUAACUAUUGGAAACGAUAGCUAAUACCGCAUAACAAUGGAUGACACAUGUCAUUUAUUUGAAAGGGGCAAUUGCUCCACUACAAGAUGGACCUGCGUUGUAUUAGCUAGUAGGUGAGGUAAUGGCUCACCUAGGCGACGAUACAUAGCCGACCUGAGAGGGUGAUCGGCCACACUGGGACUGAGACACGGCCCAGACUCCUACGGGAGGCAGCAGUAGGGAAUCUUCGGCAAUGGGCGCAACCCUGACCGAGCAACGCCGCGUGAGUGAAGAAGGUUUUCGGAUCGUAAAGCUCUGUUGUAAGUCAAGAACGGGUGUGAGAGUGGAAAGUUCACACUGUGACGGUAGCUUACCAGAAAGGGACGGCUAACUACGUG